This 497-nucleotide ribosomal RNA is filed under the name uncultured bacterium. Its description in RNAcentral is "partial 16S ribosomal RNA". It matches the Rfam family "Bacterial small subunit ribosomal RNA", at positions 28 to 507 of the family's 1533-position model. The record is from RNAcentral.
GAUGAACGCUGGCGGCGUGCCUAAUACAUGCAAGUCGAGCGAACAGACGAGGAGCUUGCUCCUUCGACGUUAGCGGCGGACGGGUGAGUAACACGUAGGUAACCUACCUAUAAGACUGGGAUAACUUCGGGAAACCGGAGCUAAUACCGGAUAAUAUUUCGAACCGCAUGGUUCGAUAGUGAAAGAUGGCUUUGCUAUCACUUAUAGAUGGACCUGCGCCGUAUUAGCUAGUUGGUAAGGUAACGGCUUACCAAGGCAACGAUACGUAGCCGACCUGAGAGGGUGAUCGGCCACACUGGAACUGAGAGACGGUCCAGACUCCUACGGGAGGCAGCAGUAGGGAAUCUUCCGCAAUGGGCGAAAGCCUGACGGAGCAACGCCGCGUGAGUGAUGAAGGUCUUCGGAUCGUAAAACUCUGUUAUUAGGGAAGAACAAACGUGUAAGUAACUGUGCACGUCUUGACGGUACCUAAUCAGAAAGCCACGGCUAACUACGUG